This 918-nucleotide long non-coding RNA is filed under the name Callithrix jacchus (white-tufted-ear marmoset). RNAcentral's name for it is "lncRNA (ENSCJAG00000052997.2)". The record is from RNAcentral. Lineage: Eukaryota; Metazoa; Chordata; Mammalia; Primates; Cebidae.
UUGUUUAAACUACUCAGCCUGGGGUAAUUUGUUAAAGUAACCUAAACUAAGACAGCUUUUCUAAGACAGCCUCUCAAAUCAAUUUUCAGAUUCCUGAAGUGAUUAAUGAGGUCAUAUAUCCUACCAGGAAAGCUAGGUGAACUUUACAAAUUAGAUCUUCCAGGCUUUGACUGCGGUACAGAAAAUUUUCAUGGUUCACUGACUGAGGAUGAUCAAUCCCUUCAUGAUCCAUAACUGAAAGAAUGAAUUGUCUGAGAACAUCAAAGAAAGACUCCUCAUGCCAUCCACAUUGCAGCAAAACUUGAGGACCUUGAACCUUUGAUUCAUAAUUUUACAACUCAGAAGCAUCUCUCCACACUCUGGAAACUGGAUACCCUUUGGAACCCUUAAGGUAAGGCUAAUCAGUGAAGUUUUUAUUCCCAGAAGACGGCAUCCUUGAAGUAAACAGCUUUAUCCCAAGAUCACAAAUUAAGUCUUCUCUACUACCAUGAGACUCUUAUCUUUGAAUUUUUCCCCUUAUUUAUGCUUCUAUAAACAAUAAGAGUAAAAAUAGUGUCUGUUGUGUGCACUCAUGGGGUAUACUUUUAUUUUGUGAAGGGUUUGUGGCCAAACUUAUACAUGGAUAACAGAUACGGUUUGGAUUGGUGUCCCCACCCAAACUCAUGUUGAAUUGUAAUCCCCAGUGUUGGUGGAGCAUGGUGGGAGGUGAUUGGAUUAUGGACAUGGUUUCUAAUGAUUUAACAUAAUCCCCUUAGUGCCGUCUUGUGAUAGUUUCUCAUGAGGUCUGGUUGUUUAAAAGUGUGUGGCACCCUCCCAUUUACUCUCCCUCUCCUGCUCUGCCAUGUGCAGAUGUGCCUCUUUUUCUUUCAACUUCUGGCAUGAUUGUAAGUUUCCUUAGGUCUCUCUAGCCAUGCUUCC